GCUCCCGUGGCCUAGUGGUUAGAGUGUCCGCCUCGGAUGCGGGAGGUCGUGGAUUAGAUCCCCGGCUGAGUCCU
Molecule: non-coding RNA, 74 nt
Organism: Potamilus streckersoni
Lineage: Eukaryota; Metazoa; Mollusca; Bivalvia; Unionida; Unionidae
Source: the annotation of a GenBank genome assembly